RNAcentral lists this ribosomal RNA (440 nucleotides) under uncultured bacterium. RNAcentral describes it as "partial 16S ribosomal RNA". It matches the Rfam family "Bacterial small subunit ribosomal RNA", at positions 338 to 795 of the family's 1533-position model. The record is from RNAcentral.
CCUACGGGUGGCAGCAGUGGGGAAUAUUGCACAAUGGGGGAAACCCUGAUGCAGCGACGCCGCGUGAAGGAAGAAGUAUUUCGGUAUGUAAACUUCUAUCAGCAGGGAAGCAAAUGACGGUACCUGACUAAGAAGCACCGGCUAACGACGUGCCAGCAGCCGCGGUAAUACGUAGGGGGCAAGCGUUAUCCGGAUUUACUGGGUGGAAAGGGAGCGUUGGCGGUAAUGCAAGUCAGAAGUGAAAGCCAGGGGUUCAACGCCCGGACUGCAUUUGAAAUUGUGGUGCGAGAUUGCGGGAGAGGUAAGUGGAAUUCCUAGUGUAGCGGUGAAAUGCGUAGAUAUUAGGAAGAACACCAGUGGCGAAGGCGGCUUACUGGACUGUAAAUGACGCUGAGGCUCGAAAGCGUGGGGAGCAAACAGGAUUAGAUACCCGGGUAGUC